This is a small nucleolar RNA of Chrysemys picta bellii (western painted turtle), 218 nucleotides long. Lineage: Eukaryota; Metazoa; Chordata; Testudines; Emydidae. The record is from Ensembl.
AAGACUAUACUUUCAGGGAUCAUUUCUAUAGUUUGUAACUAGAGAAGUGUAGCCGAAAGUGUCUGACCUUGCUAACCACGAGGAGGAGUGAAAGUGUUCUCUUCUGAGCGCGAAGCGAGCAGACAGUGUUGCUUUAAUGCAGCUGCUGUCUGUUAUUGAUGACCGUUCCUUCUUUCCUUUUGGGAAGUUGGGAGGGAGAGAACACAGACUGAGUGGUU